GUGCCAGCAGCCGCGGUAAUACGUAGGUGGCAAGCGUUGUCCGGAUUUAUUGGGCGUAAAGCGAGCGCAGGCGGUUUCUUAAGUCUGAUGUGAAAGCCUUCGGCUCAACCGAAGAAGUGCAUCGGAAACUGGGAAACUUGAGUGCAGAAGAGGACAGUGGAACUCCAUGUGUAGCGGUGAAAUGCGUAGAUAUAUGGAAGAACACCAGUGGCGAAGGCGGCUGUCUGGUCUGUAACUGACGCUGAGGCUCGAAAGCAUGGGUAGCAAACAGGAUUAGAUACCCUGGUAGUCCAUGCCGUAAACGAUGAGUGCUAGGUGUUGGAGGGUUUCCGCCCUUCAGUGCCGCAGCUAACGCAUUAAGCACUCCGCUGGGGAGUACGACCGCAAGGUUGAAACUCAAAGGAAUUGACGGGGGCCCGCACAAGCGGUGGAGCAUGUGGUUUAAUUCGAAGCAACGCGAAGAACCUUACCAGGUCUUGACAUCCUUUGACCACUCUAGAGAUAGAGCUUUCCCUUCGGGGACAAAGUGACAGGUGGUGCAUGGUUGUCGUCAGCUCGUGUCGUGAGAUGUUGGGUUAAGUCCCGCAACGAGCGCAACCCUUAUUACUAGUUGCCAGCAUUUAGUUGGGCACUCUAGUGAGACUGCCGGUGACAAACCGGAGGAAGGUGGGGACGACGUCAAAUCAUCAUGCCCCUUAUGACCUGGGCUACACACGUGCUACAAUGGAUGGUACAACGAGUCGCGAGACCGCGAGGUUUAGCUAAUCUCUUAAAACCAUUCUCAGUUCGGAUUGUAGGCUGCAACUCGCCUACAUGAAGCCGGAAUCGCUAGUAAUCGCGGAUCAGCAUGCCGCGGUGAAUACGUUCCCGGGCCUUGCACACACCGCCCGU
RNAcentral lists this ribosomal RNA (891 nucleotides) under uncultured bacterium. RNAcentral describes it as "bacterial SSU rRNA". It matches the Rfam family "Bacterial small subunit ribosomal RNA", at positions 505 to 1397 of the family's 1533-position model. The record is from RNAcentral.